AAUUUCUGAAUUAUUUCCCAAUAUUAGAGCGAAGAACGCCGAGGAAAUAGAACGAGAGGAAGCGCAGUGAUCUUGGUGAAUUUCUUCGCCGGAUUCCUUCACAAUGAAAGGUUCACUGAAGGGGGGUGAUGAUGCUUCUGUGAAAGGAAGACAUAUCAAAAUAGAUUCAGACUCAGAUUCUGAAGGUUUUCUUGAAGAAAAGAGUAGAACUUCCUCAAAGGGAAGUAGUGUAAAGGGUGGUGGGAAGAUACCAUCAGAUUCCCUGAAGUCUGGUAAGAAGGUAUCCCUAGAUAGCCUAAAAUCAGGAGGGAAGGCUUCAUUCAACACUCCCAUUGGUUCAGGAGGAAAAGAUUAUAAGACUGGGAAGGCUGGAGGAAAAGGAAGCUUACCGCAUGCCCAAGCUGUAAAAGUUCCUAUAGUUGAAGUCGACCUAAAACUAGAACUGGAUCUUCCUAAAGAUGCUAAGGUGUUGAUGGAUUGUGAAGCAACGGAGAUUUUGGAAGGAAUCCAAGACCACCUUCUAGUAUUAUCCAGGGAUCCUGAGAUAAAAAUGCCCGAAUCAUUUAAUAAAGCACUGCAGCACUCCAAAUAUGGAAGCCAUUACACAGAUGUACAGUCUGUGAGACAAGUCUUAGACACCCUCAAAGUUAAUGGAGUUACAGAUGGCGAGAUAUGCAUGAUUGGGAACAUUCUACCAGAGUCUGUUGAUGAGGUUUAUGCUCUUGUACCUUCUUUGAAGGACAACAGGGAUAACAAUGAAGGACCGAUAAAAGACGUGCUGUCUAACCUGGCAAAGUAUAGAAACCCAAAGUAAUCCUUGUCAGAGCUUCAGCGUAUCAACUAGCACAAGGUAUACCAAGUGAAAAACAAUCUUAAAGGAGCACAAGUAGCCGGGUCUUCAAUUCUAUUCUGAUCUUUUUUUUUCCUUCUUUUUUUUGUGGGGAAAAACUCUGGUGGAUCUUGCAAAUCUUGAUGGAAGAAUGAUUUGCUAACUGGUUAAUUCAAGUUGAUGCCUCAGAUGAUAUAUUGUACUCCAAUGUUGUGUUUUUAUCCUCUUUGCUCUGGAAGUCGCCUUGCAAAUCUCUCUGGACCUCAAUUAUCACAUCAAGCACAUUUUCAGCGAUCAUUUGGAUCUCUUCAAAAUUAUCAUGAACCCGGAUUUGUCGGUCUCUUGGCAAUAUCUUCCUCAAAUCUCCAAUAUUAAAUUCCUGCUAGACAUGUUCGGCUGCCCUAAGUUACACUCCAUUCCUUCUGCGUGGAUGCUUCCUGCUGUCAAUCUUGCUUCCAUUGGUUUUAAUUUUCAUCAUCUUAAUCUCUUCCUUGACGGAAGGGAAUUGCCCUACUGGAUUAUGCGUUCCUUUAAAAAGCUUGGUUUUGUUUUUUAA
This is an RNA transcript of Dioscorea cayenensis subsp. rotundata (Guinea yam), 1385 nucleotides long. It is a transcript of the gene named DNA-directed RNA polymerases IV and V subunit 4-like, with no coding region annotated. NCBI's taxonomy places the organism in Eukaryota, Viridiplantae, Streptophyta, Magnoliopsida, Dioscoreales, Dioscoreaceae. The record is from RefSeq and is a predicted model, not a curated record. The transcript is spliced from 11 exons.